Molecule: ribosomal RNA, 748 nt
Filed under: Amphisbaenidae sp. 34 KGRC-2012
Lineage: Eukaryota; Metazoa; Chordata; Lepidosauria; Squamata; Amphisbaenidae
Description: partial 16S ribosomal RNA
Rfam family: Bacterial large subunit ribosomal RNA
Source: RNAcentral
CUUUCGUAGUAGAAGAUGGUUACGCCUGCCCAGUGAUACACCAUUCAACGGCCGCGGUAUCCUAACCGUGCAAAGGUAGCACAAUCACUUGUUCUUUAAAUAAGGACUAGUAUGAACGGCACCAUGAGGAUCGCCUUGUCUCUCAUAGUAAGUCCAUGAAACUGAUCCCCCAGUACAAAAGCUGGGAUACCCCCACAAGACGAGAAGACCCUGUGGAGCUUUAAACUGCACACCACACACACUGGUACUAGCAGUUUUUAGUUGGGGCGACUUUGGAGCAAAGCAAAACCUCCAAAAUUUAACCUAAGCCCCAGACGGACACGUCUGGGCCAAUCAACCAUCGACCCAAUACAAUUGAUCAAUGAACCAAGUUACCCCAGGGAUAACAGCGCAAUCUUCUUCUAGAGUCCCUAUCGACAAGAAGGUUUACGUCCUCGAUGUUGGAUCCGGAUACCCCAAUAGUGCAGCCGCUAUUAACGGUUCGUUUGUUCAACGAUUAAUAAUCCCACGUGACGGGAAAAGAGACGGACUUUCUCUUACAUAAACCUACGUGAUCGCUUGCGAAACGAGAAAUGACUUUUCUAACUUGAACUGGGGCCCGACCCGCCCAAUAUCCUUGAGGACUUGAUGCACAGACUCUCCCCUCUAUAUAUUUUCCUUUUCUAUUGCACCCCUCACACUCUUAUAUGAGAGAAAAGAAAAACAAAAAUAUAUUUGGCUGUGUGUGGAGGGCGCGUUUUAUAUUUUU